This 305-nucleotide ribosomal RNA is filed under the name uncultured bacterium. Its description in RNAcentral is "bacterial SSU rRNA". It matches the Rfam family "Bacterial small subunit ribosomal RNA", at positions 333 to 637 of the family's 1533-position model. The record is from RNAcentral.
AGCUGCCUACGGGGCGCAGCAGUGGGGAAUAUUGCACAAUGGGCGCAAGCCUGAUGCAGCGACGCCGCGUGCGGGAUGGAGGCCUUCGGGUUGUAAACCUCUUUUGUUCAAGGGCAAGGCACGGUCUUUGGCCGUGUUGAGUGGAUUGUUCGAAUAAGCACCGGCUAACUACGUGCCAGCAGCCGCGGUAAUACGUAGGGUGCAAGCGUUAUCCGGAUUUAUUGGGCGUAAAGGGCUCGUAGGCGGUUCGUCGCGUCCGGUGUGAAAGUCCAUCGCUUAACGGUGGAUCCGCGCUGGGGACGGGG